AGUGCUCUCUGCUUCUGAGUAGCCAGCCAGUGGGGAGGCGCUGGAGAGAUGGCUUAGACGCAUAACAUGGUUGGAAUGGUUACACCACGGCAUUUGGCAAAUGUUACAAGUUAGAGCAUUUUCACUCUCAGAGAGGCCGGCUGCCCAGAGCAGCCUGUCUGAGGGUGGCUGCGUGCUUAGGAAAGAAAAAUAGUAAAUAUACAGAAAAAUCUAUUUGCUUCUGCAACCCUGCGUAUCAGGCUUUGGGGGAGAGAGAGAGAAAAAAAAGCAAAAGUCUGACAGAGCGGCUCGGUAGGGCAGCGAUGAGUAAGAGGACUUGUAGCUGGGUAUGAGAUAGCCAAGCUGACCAGAUAAGAGAAAUGACAGGGCUCCGGGAAAAUGACAAAGCUGGCCUUGUCAGGUUCUGAUGGACACGGACAAGACCUUCCUGAGGAAUACACGCAAGUUGUAGAGACUAGGAACCAGGAGGAGGAAUUUCAGAACUACAAUUCUACUGGGGAACCGGAAGCAACCUGCUUUGCAAGCUAGGACGAAACCCCUAGGACACCCUACAAUCAAGGCGGGGGGGCGCAUCCAUGCCACAGGGAUUCUUACCAUCAUUGCAAGCUUUGGCAAGUCUUCAAGGGCGAAGAUCAUGCCUGACCUCAGAGUCUCGCUGUAGCUUGUUCAUGGUGUCUCAGUGUGCAGGGUAAGUUCUAAUCAAGCUAGGACAAGGCAAUCCAGCAGGUCUGUGCUUGGGACACAGGUGGGGACAUCUAUUUGUGGGAGACACACAGGUGGGCAGCGCUGGAGGUGAGAUUUAAGUGGAGUCCGCAGGACCUGGGUUUUCAUUAGCUUCAUGGGAUUCAAGGAGCUGAGGGCAUCAACUUGCAUUCCAUUCUCCUACCAGAAUCGGGAGGGAAGAGUCACUACUGGGGUGUGGUGCUAACCGGGCAGGCGCUGUGAGACUCUGAGGGAAGACAGCUGUGACUCAGAGGCUUCCAGGAGGAUCUACAGGGUUUGCACAGGCUGGGGCAAGCUCCUCACCCAUCUAGCCACAGGCCACACAGCUUCUGUUCUAGAAGCAUCUCCUGGUGCCUGCAUUUCUUGGUCUUGAGGAAAUAGAAAGGCUAGGAUUGACACUCCCAAUCCACACUUGAUUUUAGGGCACAUGUGUCGAUUUUAUUCUAUGUAGUGUUCCUUCUGUGUUGGGAUCAGGCCCCCCCCCUUUUUUUUCUUUUUUUCGGAGCUGGGGACCGAACCCCGGGCCUUGCGCUUGCUAGGCAAGUGCUCUACUGCUGAGCUAAAUCCCCAACCCCAGGGAUCAGGCCCUUUUGGAGAAUUUUGGUACCAGACCAGACAGUUACGAACACAUAGUAUUUUCUGAUGGCGGUCAAGGAAGAGCUAUGGGGACAGAAUUGGAAGGGAAAGUAGAAAACCUGUGUGUGUGUGUGUGUGUGUGUGUGUCUGUGUGUACACACAUGUGCACGUUCACUCUUCUGACAAUGUAGAAUUAGCUCUGUUCCCCAGUCCUGGCUGCACAACACAAACGCAGGCGUCUUUGACCCCCUUCCUUUCCACAUUCUAUACUUCUGCACCCACAGGUUCUUCCUUUUGGUUACCUUCCGGUGGCCUGUGUUGUCACUCAGUUCUCUUGCUUGGGUAGUGGAAUAGCCCUGUAUCCGGCCUGGCAGAUGACUCUAUUCUAAAGAGACACGUGUGUCGCUCAGUCUCACUACCAGGGUCUUGAAACAAUGAACCCCAAAGACACGGGAAUCCCCCCCCCCCCCGCCCAAGGAAUCUCAACCUGGGAGAAGGAAAAGACACAAGCUGGAUGGGGUAACUUUGUUUCCCUAAAAGAGAUUGCAAACAAUCCUACGGACUUGUCAGACGCCUUACAGGAUGAGACAGAAACCCAGAUAAUGACGGGGCAAAGGUCAGGGCCACACCUUUGCCAGGACGGCUUAGAUGCGCACAUCCUCAGCUCCCUGCUUCAGUUUUGAUCUCAGAGCUGGAGAAGUGGCUCAGUGGCUAAGAGCAUUGGUUGCUCACCCUGAGGACUUGGGUUUGAUUCUCGGCUCCCACGUGUUAGUUUUUUUACCAUGUUGAACUCUAGUUCUGACAACCCCUUCUGUUCCCCUAUGGGUGCAACAUCCACAUGGUGCACAGACCAUGCAGACAAACACCCAUACAUAUAAAAUAAAAAUAAAUAAAUCUGAAACAAUUUAAACUUUAAUCUCAUUUCAGGAUAUUGGACACAAGGGGCUCACUACUUGUCUUUCUUCCAAAUGUGGCCACACUGAACACAUGCCUUUUUUCUGCUUUUCGUUUUUAAUUUGGCUCUUUUAAUUGGCUUAUCGGGGAUGGGUGGCUCAACCUAACCAGGGGUACAGACUGUGACCCCCAAGUUUGCUAACAGCCUCUUCGUUUGCUUGAGACAGAGUCAGAUGUACGUCAUGCUGGCUUCAAAGUUGCCAUGUAGCCAAGGCGAGAGCCACUGUGCUCAGUUUGUGUGGUGCUGGGCAUUGAACUCAGGGUCUCAUGCAUUCCUGGCAAGCGCUGUGCUAACUGAGCUGCACUCCUCCCCAGCAUGCAGAAUAGCCUCUUAGCUGAUUUUUAUGAUGACAAUCUUUUAUUUUUUUUCCCUUCUUCACUCUGGGUCCCAUCAAAAUCAGCUGUGAAAUGUGUCUUCAAGCAUUUGCUUCUUAUAGAAUCUUUCCAUGGCUUCUCUGAUUUAAAACCUUUAACAUAUCCCAAGUGGACUCACAUACAUACAUAUAUGUGUGUGCAUACAUAUACACAUAAACAUACACAUACAUUACACAUACACAUAUACAUACAUUACACAAACACGUAUAUAUACAUAUACAAACACCAACAUAUACAUCAUAUACACAUACACAUACAUUAUAUAUACACAUUACAUACAUACACACAUAUAUUAGUACAUAUAUGUACAUUACAUAUAUACACACAUAUUGCACAUACACAUAUACAUAUACAUUACAUAUACACAUACAUAUACAUGCAUCAUAUGCAUACACAAACAUACAUAUCCAUCAUAUAUACAACACACAAACAUUACGCAUACACAUAUACAUUACAUAUACACAUACCAUAGGCAUUACAUAUAUGCAUACAUACACAAACACAAACAUAUACAUUAUAUACACAUACACGUACAUAUGCAACAUGUGUGUUAUUUUUUCCUUUCUUUCUUUUUUUUUUUUUUUUUUGGUUCUUUUUUCCGGAGCUGGGGACCGAACCCGGGGCCUUGCGCUUCCUAGGCAAGCGCUCUAACCACUGAGCUAAAUCCCCAGUCCCCAUUUUUUCCUUUCUUAUCUAAGUUCUGUGUUUAAAAUGUCCAGACAUCUUCCCCUCCAUCCUUCCUUCUUUCCGUGGCGUCGUCUCCUAAAACUUUCUAGCCCUCCUGAGUCAGGAAAGACUAAACUGAUCACGGGAAGGUCUUCUGUCAUUUCUGCUGAGGUCACUACUCUCUGGCUGGCAUCUUGCCACAGUCUCACUUCCAGAAGCAACGAUGCAAAACCUGCUCAAGCAGAGCUCUUUAAAUCGCACGCCAGGGCAGCGAUGCUUUGCUAAAGUCACUGUUUACCCAGCCGUUAGUCCGUGCAGCAGAGCAGACUGACUUACUGAGAUUCCCCGGGGAGGAAUCGGGUGAAAUGCCCGAAUUAUUUGGACCACAGCUCAUGUCCUAGAGCCAUGCACGCGUCCUCAAGCAAUUCCAAGAGGUGCCAUUGGCUGGUAGGGGGCUAAAAUGGGUAACCCCCUUUCCCAUCAUCAGGGCAUUGUGGAAGAACCUUAGUCCUGGGGUCCUAAACAGGAAGGCAGGAAGGAGGCAGGCAGCCACCCAGGCAAAACUUUGGUUCUAAACUCAGUGUUACCAGAGCAUCAGAAGGGAAAACGGGGCUGAGUGAAAGGUUCCGCCAUGUGUCACCUUCUCAACUAAAUUCUGACAUCCUUAGGACGUGACUCUGCCUUGGAUCCUCUUUGGCACUUGGUAAAGUGCUGUGCACACAGCAAAUUACCCUACACGUUACUAGUCAUUAGCCGCACAGACGAGUUUCUAUCCAGUUCCAUACCGCGGGGAGAAGAAUCUCCUGAGGGAUGGGAUUCCAUUUCUCUAAGAGUUCCCAGGGCCUCGCUUAGACAUGUGUUGAGUCUCCAAAUCCACUCUGCUAUAAGGAAAACCAUAAAUGCAUUGCAAUGAAUACAGUACUUAGCCUUCAAUUAAAUCUCACAUCUGUUUGAGACCUUCCUAGAAGAUGCCAGUUAGGAACCAAGAACAAAGGGACUUGAACCGAUACAGAAAUCUUAGAGAAAGUCAGGAAUCCUAGGUCCUUGGGAGUCCAGGCGUGACUCUUUCUCAUGGCUUCUCAGUGUGCCAGGACUCGCCCAGACACUGACUGCUACUGUUGAAUGGCCUUACACAUUUGAGUCUAGAUGGCUUCUAGAUCGAAGGAGAGGACCACGGCAAGCUAGAAGGGACAUUUCAGGAACUGGCAUUAAGAUUUCCCUCUUUUUGCAGUAUGUAGAUUGAUCACGGGAGAUGUGGGGAUCUAUACACCCUGGAGCAAAACAUGAGAAGGACCCACUAGUCUAAGGGUUUCCAGAGUCACAAAAGGGGACUGUAGAUCCUUUCCUAGAUUCUAGCUCUGGGUGUGGAGCUAAGGACCAGAAUGGUUAAUAAACAUCACUGGUCUGAGGCAAAUGCUUUGCAAAGAGAAGCUGAACUUUGACCUUUCCGGUGAGUUUUAGUACACAGAGGACAAGCCAAAGUUCAGAGAAGUCCUGAAACGAAGGCUCCUGCUUAGAGAACACUUCUUUCCACAGCCCCAGGAAUGGCUGUAUGCAACGUACAUUCAGAAAUGUGAACCAUGAAUAUGAACCGUGAAUACCAGCCCAACGGGGCCUCCCAGCCUCACUGUGAUAUGGAGUUUCACAGAACAGGGCUUCCCGGCCACAGACCACUGCUUUUCAUAUGAUGAUUGCAUGCUUUGGUUCUCAGUGAGGAGUUAGUUCUCCUCAAGGAAUAGUUGGCAAUGCCUGGAGGCCCUGGUGGGAGCCAUAACGGUUGGGCGGAGUGCUGAGAGACGGGAGUGCCCUAGGAUGCAAUGAACAAAGUCCCACCACAGGGGGUUAUCUGGCCCCAGAGGUCAGUAAUACUGGGGUUGGAAACCCUGGACUAGAGCCACGGAAUCAUGAGGAAAUAAAGCACUUAAUCCUCUGAUGACAGCCCGAGAACCGCUGUGAUGGAUUUUUUGACUCUGAGCAAUUUAAUAUUUUCAGUAGACAGCAUAAACGUCUUCCUCGGGGCCCCAUACGCUGUAUAUCUUCUGUACAGCAGAAAUUUAAAAUGGUACUUAAUUGCUUUUUUAUGUAAAUCUGUAUCAGAGAACAUUCGUUGUCAGACUUACCCCAGCCUAACAGACUUAUUGACAAGACACUGAAACUCAGUAGGUGCAGUGUCGAUGUCUUUAAAUGGCAAAUUGUAUUUCACCCUUUAAUGUGCAAUCCUAGAAUAGAUAACUAUAUACACAUACACCCAUAUACACAUACGCUUACAUAUACACAUACACACUCAUAUCCCCAUGCAUACAUUCAUACACAUAUGCACACAAGCAUUCAAAUGCACAUAAACACAAUACAAUAUGUGCAUGCAUAUAUACAUACAGACACAUAUACAGGACAUGUAAUCACACACAUAUGCAUACAUAUACAUGCAUUUGCAUAUACACACAUAUACACAUGACAUGUAAACAUACACAUAUAUACAUAUGCAUACCUAUACACAGUUAUGUACAUAAUACAUACAUACAACAUAGAUGCGCGCACACACACAUGCGCAUACACACCAUUUUUAGUACAUAACACUGAUGUAGAUGGGUAUGAGUCCUCUCUUUCCUCUGAGAUUUUUCUGAGCACAGAAAGCAGAAAUGUGGUUUAAAGAUAAUACUUCCAGCAGACCAGGAAGACUCAGGUGGUUUAAAAAUACACACCCUGGGGGUUGGGGAUUUAGCUCAGUGGUAGAGCACUUGCCUAGGAAGCACAAGGCCCUGGGUUUGGUCCCCAGCUCCAAAAAAAAAGAAGAAAAAAAUACACACCCUGGAGUUCCCAACAAUCAAGGGUUUGCUGUAUCUCUGUUUUUCAACAAAGAACUCUGCCUUGCUAUCCUUUUCCCAUGCGUAUUUUUUUUUAAUUAGGAAAAAUUCUAAAAAAGAAAUAUUCUGCUUUUUUACAUCAUUAUCUCUCAAUAUUCAUGCAUCAUACAUAUGUUCUCUAUAAAUUAAUAUACCUUCCAUGAUGUUUAAAAUGUUCUGUAAUUAUCUUAACAUAAAUUCACUAGUCUAUUAGUAUUUAAACCAAAAAAUUAAAAGUGAAAUAUUUCUGUUCCUAUUUCAGUUUAGCACUCCAUGUGCUUUGAGGUAAUAUGAAAGAUAACAAUUUUCUAUAAAUCUCUGAAAAGAUUAGCAGUUCUUUUUUUUCUGUAUAUAUAUAUUUAUAUUUAUAUAAAAAGACCAAUAAUAGCAGUGUGUUAUGCAUCAACAG
Molecule: long non-coding RNA, 6546 nt
Organism: Rattus norvegicus (Norway rat)
Lineage: Eukaryota; Metazoa; Chordata; Mammalia; Rodentia; Muridae
Source: RefSeq, a predicted model, not a curated record